GUAAGCUAUCGCUGAGGGAUGGGCCUGCGGGCCAUUAGCUUUGUUGGGUGAGGUAACGGCUCACCAAGGCUGUGAUGGCUAGCUGGUCUGAGAGGAUGACCAGCCACACUGGGACUGAGACACGGCCCAGACUCCUACGGGAGGCAGCAGUGGGGAAUAUUGCGCAAUGGGCGAAAGCCUGACGCAGCGACGCCGCGUGGGUGAUGAAGGCCUUCGGGUCGUAAAGCCCUGUCGCAGGGGAAGAAUAAGCAUCGGUAUAAUACGCCGGUGCCCUGACGGUACCCUGCAAGAAAGCACCGGCUAACUCCGUG
This 311-nucleotide ribosomal RNA is filed under the name uncultured bacterium. RNAcentral describes it as "bacterial SSU rRNA". It matches the Rfam family "Bacterial small subunit ribosomal RNA", at positions 207 to 507 of the family's 1533-position model. The record is from RNAcentral.